RNAcentral lists this small nuclear RNA (18 nucleotides) under Arabidopsis thaliana (thale cress). RNAcentral describes it as "snRNA_02425". The record is from RNAcentral. Lineage: Eukaryota; Viridiplantae; Streptophyta; Magnoliopsida; Brassicales; Brassicaceae.
GCGCGAAGCUACCGUGCG